UACGUAGGUGGCGAGCGUUGUCCGGAUUUACUGGGCGUAAAGGGAGCGUAGGCGGACUUUUAAGUGAGAUGUGAAAUACCCGGGCUCAACUUGGGUGCUGCAUUUCAAACUGGAAGUCUAGAGUGCAGGAGAGGAGAAUGGAAUUCCUAGUGUAGCGGUGAAAUGCGUAGAUAUCGGGAGGAACAUCGGUGGCGAAGGCGGUAACUGGACUGCAACUGACGCUGAGGCACGAAAGUGUGGGGAUCAAACAGGAUUAGAUACCCUGGUAGU
RNAcentral lists this ribosomal RNA (270 nucleotides) under uncultured prokaryote. Its description in RNAcentral is "partial 16S ribosomal RNA". It matches the Rfam family "Bacterial small subunit ribosomal RNA", at positions 524 to 794 of the family's 1533-position model. The record is from RNAcentral.